AUUCUUUGCUAUCACCUGGUAACUUAACUGUUUGCAGGGUUCUGAGUUUGGGACUUGGCUGUGUUCUAUUGUGAGCUUGUGUGCUUUUCAUUGUUAGGGGUAGGAAAACAGUUGCUGGUGGAAUCGGCCUUGAAAGUUUUAGCCUGUAGGUGGCAGCAUUGUCAGGGUUUGGAAGCGUGAGCUCUGCGGACUUAGCUGCCUGCCUCUCUUCUCCAAGCAGGGCUCCCAUCUCUUCAGGCUGGGCUAACAUCAUUACACACUCCUGUCAGUUGACCACAGGUAACUGAAAUGUGGGACACUGAAGACAGGAAGGAGGGUCUGCUGUAUGCAGACAUUGUGAUGUUUCUCAUAAGGCCCUCAGAGAUCUUGGAGCAGAGAAAGUCCUGAGUCUGUGGAGUGAAUAUCUUUUGAUAAAGGUGCAGCCAUGUUAAUGACUUCAAAUUGCUGGGCUCAGAGAGAUGGCAAAGCCUUCCAAGGGAACUGAAGGACUGGAUUCCCAAAAGGUUUGGAGUGAUGUUCUUCUGGUAAAUUUACAUAAUAAGCUGCUGCAGAUUGGACUCAAUACAGAUUAAACAAUGCCAAAUGCAAUGGGCCAGAGAGAUGGUUCAAUGAUUAGAAAUGUGUACUACUUUUGCCCAAGACCUGAGAUGGCUUCCCAGCACCUACAUUACAGCGUUGAUCAUUGCCUCUGACCACAGCUCCAGUAGAUCGGGCAUCCUUUUCUGUCAUCUGUGGGCAUGCGUGCUAUGUGCACAUACACAAAGACACACACAAAACGUGCAUAAAUAUUACAAAAAAGACAAUAAACCUUUUAUAAAAUGAAGUACUUUUUGGAACUUAACUCUUUAAAACAAGUAAUGCUGUAUGAAGUGUUGCUGUUUUUGUAAUUCUUAAAGUUCAAAAAGGUGAUUGUAAUUUCACUGUUUGAAUCUCUCAUGCAAAACUGCUGUGUGAAGUGCACAAUAAAGUCCAUCUUAAGGGAUAA
Molecule: long non-coding RNA, 985 nt
Organism: Mus musculus (house mouse)
Lineage: Eukaryota; Metazoa; Chordata; Mammalia; Rodentia; Muridae
Product: predicted gene 13974
Exons: 5
Source: RefSeq, marked validated